This 400-nucleotide ribosomal RNA is filed under the name uncultured bacterium. Its description in RNAcentral is "bacterial SSU rRNA". It matches the Rfam family "Bacterial small subunit ribosomal RNA", at positions 29 to 415 of the family's 1533-position model. The record is from RNAcentral.
AAUCAACGCUGGCGGCGUGCCUAACACAUGCAAGUCGAACGCGAAAGUGGAGCAAUCCAUGAGUAGAGUGGCAAACGGGUGAGUAACGCGUGGGCGACCUACCUUCGAGUGGGGGAUAACCUUCCGAAAGGAGGGCUAAUACCGCAUGACAUCCCGUGUUUGGAUACACGGACAUCAAAGCCGGGGAUCGUAAGACCUGGCGCUUGAAGAGGGGCCCGCGUCCGAUUAGCUAGNGGUGAGGUAACGGCUCACCAAGGCUCCGAUCGGUAUCCGGCCUGAGAGGGCGGACGGACACACUGGAACUGAGACACGGUCCAGACUCCGUACGGGAGGCAGCAGUGGGGAAUUGUUCGCAAUGGGCGCAAGCCUGACGACGCAACGCCGCGUGGAGGAUGAAGAC